Molecule: transfer RNA, 72 nt
Filed under: Ovis aries (sheep)
Lineage: Eukaryota; Metazoa; Chordata; Mammalia; Artiodactyla; Bovidae
Rfam family: tRNA
About the family: Transfer RNA (tRNA) molecules are approximately 80 nucleotides in length. Their secondary structure includes four short double-helical elements and three loops (D, anti-codon, and T loops).
Source: Rfam by way of RNAcentral
UCCCUGGUGGCUUAGACACUAAAGCAUCUGCCUGCAAUGCGGAAGACCCAGGUUCUAUUCCUGAGUUGGGAA